CUUUGGCAGCAUAUACAUACUAAAAUUGGAACGAAACAGAGAAGAUUAGGGUGACCCCUGUGUAAAGAGACAAACAGAUUCGUGAAGUAUUCCAUAUUUUU
Small nuclear RNA from Mesocricetus auratus (golden hamster), 101 nucleotides. The record is from Ensembl. Lineage: Eukaryota; Metazoa; Chordata; Mammalia; Rodentia; Cricetidae.